Molecule: long non-coding RNA, 159 nt
Organism: Oxyura jamaicensis (ruddy duck)
Lineage: Eukaryota; Metazoa; Chordata; Aves; Anseriformes; Anatidae
Exons: 3
Source: RefSeq, a predicted model, not a curated record
AAGAUUAUUUUUAAGAAUUACGGUCUUUGUUCCGCACAUUUUACUCAUUUGCCAAUUAUUUUCUAAGUUUUGGACUCUAAAAAGCCUGAUUGCUACGUCACGGGAUGACAGGGCAAUAAAACACCUCCCCCCCCCCAUAACUGAUUCCCAUGGCUGUGG